Molecule: ribosomal RNA, 482 nt
Filed under: uncultured bacterium
Lineage: Bacteria
Description: partial 16S ribosomal RNA
Rfam family: Bacterial small subunit ribosomal RNA
Source: RNAcentral
AUUGAACGCUGGCGGCAUGCUUUACACAUGCAAGUCGAACGGUAACAGGCCGCAAGGUGCUGACGAGUGGCGAACGGGUGAGUAAUGCAUCGGAACGUGCCCAGUCGUGGGGGAUAACUACUCGAAAGAGUAGCUAAUACCGCAUACGAUCUAUGGAUGAAAGCGGGGGACCGUAAGGCCUCGCGCGAUUGGAGCGGCCGAUGUCAGAUUAGGUAGUUGGUGGGGUAAAGGCUCACCAAGCCAACGAUCUGUAGCUGGUCUGAGAGGACGACCAGCCACACUGGGACUGAGACACGGCCCAGACUCCUACGGGAGGCAGCAGUGGGGAAUUUUGGACAAUGGGCGCAAGCCUGAUCCAGCAAUGCCGCGCGCAGGAAGAAGGCCUUCGGGUUGUAAACUGCUUUUGUACGGAACGAAACGGCUCUGGUUAAUACCCGGGGCUAAUGACGGUACCGUAAGAAUAAGCACCGGCUAACUACGUG